CCUACGGGUGGCAGCAGUGGGGAAUAUUGCACAAUGGGCGAAAGCCUGAUGCAGCAACGCCGCGUGAAGGAAGAAGUAUUUCGGGAUGUAAAGCCCUAUCAGCAGGGAAGAAGAAAUGACGGUACCUGAGUAAGAAGCACCGGCUAAAUACGUGCCAGCAGCCGCGGUAAUACGUAGGGUGCAAGCGUUAUCCGGAUUUACUGGGUGUAAAGGGAGCGCAGGCGGCACGGCAAGCCUGAUGUGAAAGCCCGCGGCGCAACCGCGGGACUGCAUUGGGAACUACCGGGCUGGAGUGCCGGAGAGGUAGGCGGAAUUCCUAGUGUAGCGGUGAAAUGCGUAGAGAUUAGGAGGAACACCAGUGGCGAAGGCGGCCUACUGGACGGUGACUGACGCUGAGGCUCGAAAGCGUGGGGAGCAAACAGGAUUAGAUACCCGGGUAGUC
RNAcentral lists this ribosomal RNA (442 nucleotides) under uncultured bacterium. RNAcentral's name for it is "partial 16S ribosomal RNA". It matches the Rfam family "Bacterial small subunit ribosomal RNA", at positions 338 to 795 of the family's 1533-position model. The record is from RNAcentral.